This 172-nucleotide ribosomal RNA is filed under the name uncultured Cellulomonas sp. RNAcentral describes it as "partial 16S ribosomal RNA". It matches the Rfam family "Bacterial small subunit ribosomal RNA", at positions 1211 to 1382 of the family's 1533-position model. The record is from RNAcentral. Lineage: Bacteria; Bacillati; Actinomycetota; Actinomycetes; Micrococcales; Cellulomonadaceae.
GGGCUUCACGCAUGCUACAAUGGCCGGUACAAAGGGCUGCGAUACCGCGAGGUGGAGCGAAUCCCAGAAAGACCGGUCUCAGUUCGGAUUGGGUCUGCAACUCGACCCAUGAAGUCGGAGUCGCUAGUAAUCGCAGAUCAGCAACGCUGCGGUGAAUACGUUCCCGGGCCUU